Molecule: unclassified non-coding RNA, 209 nt
Filed under: Hevea brasiliensis (rubber tree)
Lineage: Eukaryota; Viridiplantae; Streptophyta; Magnoliopsida; Malpighiales; Euphorbiaceae
Source: RNAcentral
UUUAAUCACUUAUAUAAGCCCAUAAUAAAAAGCAUUAAUGUGUAAUUUGCCUAGCACUUUCUAAAUUUGACAUAGUAUUAGAACAUGCCACAAUUUGAGACUUAAAAAAGCAAGGUGGGCAGUGCCGUAGCGAGACAGACCCAGUGGAUCUAUGGGCUAGUAAAAUGAACUAGACCCAUAGAGUCAAGCAAAAUAAAUAAAUAAAUAAA